This is a long non-coding RNA of Camelina sativa (false flax), 835 nucleotides long. RefSeq lists it as uncharacterized. The record is from RefSeq and is a predicted model, not a curated record. NCBI's taxonomy places the organism in Eukaryota, Viridiplantae, Streptophyta, Magnoliopsida, Brassicales, Brassicaceae.
UAAUUUACUAUAUAAGAUAAAAGAUAUGAUUCGACUUGAGACCAGCUCAAAUCCCCCAUUAAUUCCAGCCUUAUAUGGUGAAAGAUUAUGGCGGAGAGACGCUGACCAUCGGUCAGGUUGCGGCGGUGGCGACUCGAGUAACGACAGUCGAGCUUUCUGAAGAGGCUCGUGCCGGUCUGAAGGCGAGUUGUGAGUGGGGUGAUGGAGAGCAUGAACCAUGGUACGGACACUUAUCGUAUCACUACUAGAUUUGGUUCAUCAUCUCGUAGGAGGACUGACCAAGGUUCUGCUCUUCAAAAAAAGAGCUUAUUAGAGCUUAGGUGAGGAUAGAGAGCUGAGCAUAAGCUCUUGUAGAGAACCAAAGUUGUAAUCCUUCGUCAUAGCGGUGAUGGCGUAGAUCCAUGAUUGAGCUGAGUCGGUUGCGGAUGUUUUUGUCAAUGAUUUUGAUAAGUCGUUCUGGUGGAGAGGGUGGUUCGCCAUGUCGCCUAGCAUUCCUUUCACGCCACAAAUGAUAAAGAGUUGCUUGAAAAACAUAUUUGAGCAGAAAGCGUUGAAUGAAGCUGAAGGUUGUAGAUGUGAGCAAUGGUAGUAGACUGUUCCAAUCUGUGGAACAAUUGCUUUUAAAACUGGCGGAUUGCAAAUAUAAACCGAAGGAUUAUUACAGCUGAGUAUAUGAUAUUGGUUUAUAAAUUGUAAUGAGAUCAUAACGUUCUCGGAUGAAAGGAAUGAAUGAUUAGGAUACUUUAGUUUCUGAAAAGAUAAAGUUGUGAUUGUGGUAGUUCUGUAAAAGGUCUUCUUAAACAAAUUUGUGGAGUAUCUUUUAAUCUGUUGUUUA